This 374-nucleotide ribosomal RNA is filed under the name uncultured bacterium. RNAcentral describes it as "bacterial SSU rRNA". It matches the Rfam family "Bacterial small subunit ribosomal RNA", at positions 524 to 898 of the family's 1533-position model. The record is from RNAcentral.
UACGUAGGUGGCAAGCGUUGUCCGGAUUUACUGGGCGUAAAGGAUGUGUAGGCGGAACUGCAAGUUGGGUGUUUAAUCUACGGGCUCAACCCGUAUCAGCAUUCAAAACUGUGGUUCUUGAGUAAUGCAGAGGUAGGCGGAAUUCCCGGUGUAGCGGUGGAAUGCGUAGAUAUCGGGAGGAACACCAGUGGCGAAGGCGGCCUACUGGGCAUCAACUGACGCUGAGGCUCGAAAGCAUGGGUAGCAAACAGGAUUAGAUACCCUGGUAGUCCAUGCUGUAAACGAUGAUUACUAGGUGUGGGGAGAUUGACCCUCUCCGUGCCGCAGUUAACACAAUAAGUAAUCCACUUGGGGAGUACGACCGCAAGGUUGAA